Peromyscus maniculatus bairdii (prairie deer mouse) is the source of this 800-nucleotide long non-coding RNA. RefSeq lists it as uncharacterized. Lineage: Eukaryota; Metazoa; Chordata; Mammalia; Rodentia; Cricetidae. The record is from RefSeq and is a predicted model, not a curated record.
AAAACAUAGAAAUAUCCUCCUUCCUAUAUUCUACCCGCCCCUAAACCACACCCCAAAUUGGUUGUUUCUCCUCCUGUCUGGCCCCCAACUCAAACAGCAGUAUGUGCUGAGCCUUCAAAAAUCAACCAGAUGGCUUGCCCCACAUACAGAGAACAUUCCCCACUCACCUCCUCCCAUCAGGAGAGGAAAAAACAGAACAAUAACAAAAACACCGUUGGGGCAUUUCAUGUAGGGAACAUCAGUCUGCUGACUCCUUCCACCCUAAGCCAAGGAGAGAAAAGCCAUGCCUACAGGCAGAACAGUAUCUACCCUCUGACGGAACUUCCUCCAUCACAGAAACAGGAGUGGGGAGGUGAGGAUGAAAGCCGACACACUGCAAAUUCUGCAUCCAAAUGCUCACCUCCCAGGCUGACCUCCUAUGGAAACUCGAGCAGACUCUCACACCCAUCAUCUACAACAUAGCUCCACACAAGGAUGCUCUCAAAACUGCUGACUAAAUGGUCACUGCAUCCUUUUGGAGAAGUUUCUGAGAAAGGUCUGACAGGAGAAUGUAUCGCACCUUUGGACACAGCAUGCAAGAGUUAAGCCUACCUCUCUGAUAUUCACUAGUUCUGUGACAAUAGUGAAUGCAGUUUUCCUAUGUGAAAGGGGAAAUGAGGCUGUGUAUCUAUCAGUUUAAUGAAGAAGAAAUAAUAGGAGCCUUGUACUUGACAAAUGAGUGCACACCUUGGCUGCCUCCUUUUCUCCAGAGCUAACAAUAAUAAAGAAAAGAGGAUCCUAUUGGUCAUCUGAGAACAUUA